GAUAAAUAAUUUGAGCUGUAUGGAUUUUUCGUCCCACCAAUUCUUGGAAAUUGAAACAUUGUGUUAACAAUAGCAGCAAUUGGACAUCCUCUUAUGUUAUAACACACCAACUUGUAAUUCUGAUUAUAUCCAUGGGUGAAAAAACUUCUUCUGAUACAUCUUUUUCUUUUCAGUUUUACAUGUAAUUUUAGAGAAUAAAAUCUGGUUCUCCACUGGUGUUUGGUAGAGCACUAUGCUAAUAGAAUCAACAACCUAUUCACUUUGUUUAGUAUUCAUUCCUGCCUUCUGAAAUAUUAGCCAACGCUCCCUUUUCCUCUCUACUCUAUCUAUGGUGGCGCUUCAUCGACUCUGCGGGGAGCGGCCGCCAUGAAAACGAUGCCGACCACCAUGGCCCGCCCAAGCUUGCCAUCGGCCGCGAGACCAUCACUGUUGCUGCCUCGCAGCAGCUUCACUCACUGCCAGUAUCUUUGACGGAGGGAUGGGCCACCAACGAGCUCCUCAAUUUCUACCAAAUUCCAGGAGGCAUUUCGACUCAGAAGAAAGGAGGAGCGGAUUCAAGAGCUUCUUCAUAUGGACAAUGAGGUCGAGCUACAGAUGUGAAACGUGGCCACAAACAGCUUGAGGAACUUUGACAAUAAAGUGAAAUUCAGUUACAAUAUGCAGAGGCAGGAGGUCCACCACACAAAUACAGACACCACACUGAAGCUCAUGAAGGAUCAGAUAAUAAUGGCAAAGUGUAUGCCACCAUUGCCUGUUCUAGGACGAGUCCGACUUGUAUGGGUCGAUCAUGAAGUGCAUAAUGGAAAGCAAAGCUUCUAUUGGGGAUGCAUAUAUGGACAAUGAGCUGGAUUCAAGCGCUUUACAGAGAGCAAAAGCAAUGGGAUGUGUUAUCUUCGGCUGUUCUGUACAACUCUGGUGAAGUAUCGAGAAUAUUGUGUGUUAUGCCGCAGUCUGCGGAACUCAAUAUUGACAUAGUCAAGAACCAAAACACGUUCCUGAUUCAGCAUGCUGCAAAGACGGUUCCCAUGCCCUUGCAGUGCCUACACGUGCAGUUAAUAACCGACUAUUAUUUCCGUGAUGGUGUGAUCAAGGAGUAUCUCAAGAUGCUGCUUUGAAGGAUGAGGAAGAUAAAGCAAAGCACCAGGAUCACUCUAUGACUAUGCUAUAUUUUCUGAUAAUGUCCUUGCAGCCUCGGUAGUUGUCAGAUCAACUACGACACAUGCCAAGGAGCCAGGUGAGUAUAUCCUGAUACUUAAUGGGAUUUUUUUGCUGCUAGGUGUGUGUUGCGUAUUCAAUCUUGCAAAGAGAAUGGCUGAACUAUCUGAUACAAAAUAUUCAAAAAGAUCAAUCAAUUGAAUUUUCACCAAAUACAAUCUUGUGAUUCUUGAAAAGCCAACUGGUCUUCUCUCUCAUUCUACAAAAUAAUUCCUCUUGGAUAGUUCUCUAUGCUGUCAUAUACCUCACAUUGGUCCAGUUUCCUUUCGUUGCAUCGAAGAGGUAAAAAGUACACAAUUUUUCUCCAUGUUAAUUUGAUGUUCAGCACAUUAUUAUCAUAUUUAGUCUCCUGGAACUUUUCGUUUGCUGUAAGUCAUUGCUAUUGCUAUUUCGCAUAAAAUUGAAAUUUCUAUCAAAAGAUUUGCCUAGGUCCUCAGAAAGUGUGACUUCUAUUUAGAUUUUAAUCUUGAUACUGGAGCAACUCAAAUGCUUACAUAUACCGUUUUAGCUAAACCAGCUCCCUUUUGUACACGUAUACGGGACUACAGUAUAGAUGCUGAUGCAAUGUGUCCUGUUUUAUUUUUCAUUUCCUAUAGAUGAUGAUGCAAUUUCUUCUUUUUGAUAGUAAACGGUAAUCCAAAAUUUCUUAAAGCAUUGCUUAUUUGUUCUCUUACAGUGCAAAUAACAUCACAGGAGAGUUGCCUUCAGACUUUUGCAGGCUGUAGUAAAUUUCUUGGUUCAGUGGCAUGUGAAGAAAAACUGAAUAAUUCCUUAACAGAAGCAGCAAGGAUCCUGUCAUGUGUCAUCGGUGGACUGCUACGGUAAAUAUGUUCUCUGAAUUACGUAGGGCUGAAAGAGAAAAAUGUACAAGUCGUUUUUUUUUUGCACCAGUACUACAUAAACAUAUCUGGGGGCCAUUGAUGCCUUAAAAGAAAGAACACAUGAAAGUAUUUGUAUCCAUUUACUGAAUAUGGUUCCGAGUCCUUUAUUUUGAGAUUGAUUGUAGUGCAUGGAAGCUCCUCUUAUAGUGAAACAAACAUGCAUUCUGAUAGCAUGAACUCUUUUGAUAGAUGUAAAACAAUUUGAUACCAUGGAGACAGUAACACCAUGCAUCUCUUCCAAAGUAUGUCAAGCAUAAUUUUUGGAUGAAAAAAUAUUCCAGACUCAGCAAUUUGCCGGUAGCACCAUGCCCACCUCAAGCUUACCAGGUAAACUUCAGAAGUGGCGUGACACAAAAGUGUAUAACUAACCGGUUCUCAAUUAACCUAAGCAGUAGGUUUAUCUGAGACUUUUACAUCUGUGUGGUAUUGGAUUGAUCAAAUGAAUGAGAAACUGCCUAAAUCUUUCUCAAUUAAUUUGGAUUGGAGGGAGUAUUAUUUUGCUAGGUUAUUCUUACCCAUGAGCAUUUACUUUUGAAAAGUUAUGCCUCUCUCAUGUUAUCCAGAUUUAAUUCAUUGUUGAUAGAUGAAAAGAACACCUGCACAACUUCAAGGCUUGAUUAUUCGGAAUCAUAUGUAUUGUUCACCUCUUCUUAUAGGAUGUCCAAACAAAUGGACAUCAUUUACCAGCGUAGUGACCAUACGUUUUCAAACUUGAGAAUUGAGUUACAGUCAUAGCCACUUAUUUAAUAGAUACUUUUCAAAGACGGAAAUCCCUUUUUUGCCAAUUGCUAAAUCUGGUAUAUUUUGUCAACUAUUCAUCAACCACUUAGUGACAUAUAAUUUAACAUGUCUCAUGUAAUUGUGCAGUUCGAUUGAAGAGCAGAUUAAGCUUGACAAGGUGUUUUCACAGUAGUUCCUUCAUUACUUCAAUGUCCCCAUAGAUGAAGAUUCGGGAAUUGCGUCAACUUAGUUCUCUAACAACGCUCGCAGCCUCUGAAGAACUUAUCUAGGAGGCUUUGUUUCGAGGGAGUGUGAUAGUCAGCCUAAAGUGAAAAGGAAAAAAAUAAUUAGAAGUACAUCAUUCAGCCUUGAAAAUACAAAGUUUGCUUUUAAGUUGAUAAGCUUGCAAGUUUAGCCCUGAGAUGUUGUAUGUAUCUCCUUCUAUCAUUAUCUUCCAGUUUGUAUUACAUGUGACAUGAAUUGUUUACGUAGAAUAUGGAUUAUGAUAUAAAUUUUAUUAGAGGUGUUCAUGCAUAGACUUGCAGGUUAUUACUUCGCCAUUGUGUUCAUUUCAUGUAUAUAUCACUGAGUUUUUUAUUUUUCCUGGAUAAACAUGUUACAAAGUUAUUUCCAUCUUUUUUCUAGACAUC
Lolium rigidum is the source of this 3466-nucleotide long non-coding RNA. RefSeq lists it as uncharacterized. The record is from RefSeq and is a predicted model, not a curated record. The transcript has 4 exons. NCBI's taxonomy places the organism in Eukaryota, Viridiplantae, Streptophyta, Magnoliopsida, Poales, Poaceae.